RNAcentral lists this ribosomal RNA (486 nucleotides) under uncultured bacterium. RNAcentral describes it as "partial 16S ribosomal RNA". It matches the Rfam family "Bacterial small subunit ribosomal RNA", at positions 28 to 523 of the family's 1533-position model. The record is from RNAcentral.
AUUGAACGCUGGCGGCAGGCUUAACACAUGCAAGUCGAACGGUGACCCUCGGAGCUUGCUUCGGGGUGAGCAGUGGCGAACGGGUGAGUAACACGUGAGUAACCUGCCCCUGACUCUGGAAUAAGCGCUGGAAACGGCGUCUAAUACCGGAUACGACACGCCUCCGCAUGGGGAGCGUGUGGAAAGUUUUUCGGUCUGGGAUGGACUCGCGGCCUAUCAGCUUGUUGGUGAGGUAAUGGCUCACCAAGGCGAUGACGGGUAGCCGGCCUGAGAGGGCGACCGGCCACACUGGGACUGAGACACGGCCCAGACUCCUACGGGAGGCAGCAGUGGGGAAUAUUGCACAAUGGGCGAAAGCCUGAUGCGGCGACGCCGCGUGAGGGAUGACGGCCUUCGGGUUGUAAACCUCUUUCAGCAGGGAAGAAGCGAGAGUGACGGUACCUGCAGAAGAAGCACCGGCUAACUACGUGCCAGCCGCCGCCGUAA